This 250-nucleotide ribosomal RNA is filed under the name uncultured prokaryote. Its description in RNAcentral is "partial 16S ribosomal RNA". It matches the Rfam family "Bacterial small subunit ribosomal RNA", at positions 524 to 774 of the family's 1533-position model. The record is from RNAcentral.
UACGUAGGUGGCGAGCGUUAUCCGGAUUUAUUGGGCGUAAAGCGUCCGCAGCCGGUUUUGUAAGUCUAAAAUAAAAGCCUGGGGCUUAACCCCAGAUCGUUUUAGAAACUGCAAGACUCGAGUGUGGUAGAGGCAAAUGGAAUUUCUAGUGUAGCGGUAAAAUGCGUAGAUAUUAGAAGGAACACCAGUGGCGAAGGCGAUUUGCUGGGCCAUAACUGACGGUCAGGGACGAAAGCGUGGGGAGCAAAUA